CAAACUGUCAUAUGUUAGUGAAUGUGUUUGGAGGAAGCAGCCGCGGCGGCGGAGGGCGAGCAGCGCGGAGGGGAGAGGCGCACACUUUUCAGCUGCUGAGCAAAGUGUCUUCUGGGCAUGAGGGGGGCAUGGAGGAGGAAUCUGAGCAGGAAAGAGACACAAUGCCUCCGCCGCAGCAGUGCGACUGAGUGAGUGAGUGAGUGAGUGAGUGAGUGUGGGGGCACGGCGGAGGCAAGGCCGGGGCUUAUGGAAUAGAGACUGAACCGAGCAGGCUGUGAGCCGGGCUGUGUGACGUUACAGUCGGGCCGGUGAGGCCGGGCAGGCUGCCGGGGGGACAGAGCGUGACUCCGGGAACACAGAGAGAAAUAUCAGCCCCGGACUGGAGCUUUGAUCAACUGAGCGUACCGGGGGGUGGGGGGGUGGGUGGGUGUCGGUCCGCUGCUCUGCUCCGCUGUUUGCAGUCUCUCUGCACGGUGGUUCUCUCUCUCUCGCUCUCUCUUUUUACAAAGGAAUAUUGCAAACAUGCGCUGAUAUUCAUAAUGCGUUAAUUGUGCCUUAUUAAUGCGUUUAUUUUUUAGGAAUAAACAGCCCCAUUUCUGUUAAAA
Long non-coding RNA from Sander lucioperca (pikeperch), 605 nucleotides. RefSeq lists it as uncharacterized. The transcript is spliced from 3 exons. The record is from RefSeq and is a predicted model, not a curated record. NCBI's taxonomy places the organism in Eukaryota, Metazoa, Chordata, Actinopteri, Perciformes, Percidae.